Molecule: ribosomal RNA, 210 nt
Filed under: uncultured bacterium
Lineage: Bacteria
Description: partial 16S ribosomal RNA
Rfam family: Bacterial small subunit ribosomal RNA
Source: RNAcentral
GUUCUGAAAAGAAACGCUAAUACCGCAUGAGACUACAGAGCUGCAUGGCUCAGUGGUCAAAGGAGCAAUCCGCUGAAAGAUGGACUCGCGUCCGAUUAGAUAGUAGGCGGGGUAACGGCCCACCUAGUCGACGAUCGGUAGCCGGACUGAGAGGUUGAACGGCCACAUUGGGACUGAGACACGGCCCAGACUCCUACGGGAGGCAGCAUG